CACGUAGGGGGCGAGCGUUGUCCGGAUUUAUUGGGCGUAAAGAGCUCGUAGGUGGCUCGGUAAGUCGGGUGUGAAAUUUCGAGGCUCAACCUCGAGACGCCACCUGAUACUGCUGUGGCUAGAGUCCGGUAGGGGAGCGUGGAAUUCCUGGUGUAGCGGUGAAAUGCGCAGAUAUCAGGAGGAACACCAAUGGCGAAGGCAGCUCGCUGGGACGGUACUGACGCUGAGACGCGAAAGCGUGGGGAGCAAACAGG
RNAcentral lists this ribosomal RNA (254 nucleotides) under uncultured bacterium. RNAcentral describes it as "partial 16S ribosomal RNA". It matches the Rfam family "Bacterial small subunit ribosomal RNA", at positions 524 to 776 of the family's 1533-position model. The record is from RNAcentral.